UGGGGGAUAUUGCACAAUGGGCGAAAGCCUGAUGCAGCGACGCCGCGUGGGGGAUGAAGGCCUUCGGGUUGUAAACUUCUUUUGCUCUGAACAAGGCGCACCAUGGGGUGUGUUGAGUGUAGGGGUUGAUUAGCGCCGGCUAACUACGUGCCAGCAGCCGCGGUAAUACGUAGGGCGCGAGCGUUGUCCGGAAUUAUUGGGCGUAAAGGGCUUGUAGGUGGCUGGUUGCGUCUGUCGUGAAAGCUCAUGGCUUAACGGUGGGUUUGCGGUGGGUACGGGCUGGCUUGAGUGCAGUAGGGGAGGCUGGAAUUCCUGGUGUAGCGGUGGAAUGCGCAGAUAUCAGGAGGAAUGCCGGUGGCGAAGGCGGGUCUCUGGGCUGUUACUGACACUGAGGAGCGAAAGCAUGGGGAGCGAACAGG
This 419-nucleotide ribosomal RNA is filed under the name bacterium. RNAcentral describes it as "partial 16S ribosomal RNA". It matches the Rfam family "Bacterial small subunit ribosomal RNA", at positions 355 to 776 of the family's 1533-position model. The record is from RNAcentral.